RNAcentral lists this ribosomal RNA (425 nucleotides) under uncultured phototrophic eukaryote. Its description in RNAcentral is "bacterial SSU rRNA". It matches the Rfam family "Bacterial small subunit ribosomal RNA", at positions 356 to 795 of the family's 1533-position model. The record is from RNAcentral.
GGGGAAUUUUCCGCAAUGGGCGAAAGCCUGACGGAGCAAUACCGCGUGAGGGAAGACGGCCUAUGGGUUGUAAACCUCUUUUUUCAGGGAGGAAUCAAUGACGUGUACCUGAAGAAUAAGCAUCGGCUAACUCCGUGCCAGCAGCCGCGGUAAGACGGAGGAUGCAAGUGUUAUCCGGAAUCACUGGGCGUAAAGCGUCUGUAGGUGGUUAAAUAAGUCAACUGUUAAAUCUUGAGGCUCAACUUCAAAAUCGCAGUCGAAACUGUUUGACUAGAGUAUAGUAGGGGUAAAGGGAAUUUCCAGUGGAGCGGUGAAAUGCGUAGAUAUUGGAAAGAACACCGAUGGCGAAGGCACUUUACUGGGCUAUUACUGACACUCAGAGACGAAAGCUAGGGUAGCAAAUGGGAUUAGAUACCCCUGUAGUC